Molecule: long non-coding RNA, 1175 nt
Organism: Mauremys mutica (yellowpond turtle)
Lineage: Eukaryota; Metazoa; Chordata; Testudines; Geoemydidae
Exons: 3
Source: RefSeq, a predicted model, not a curated record
CCAGUGGAGAGGGUGUAUUGAAUGUCUUCUGUCUAAAGAAAUCUGAUAGAAGGCUGAAAAGGCAGAGAACCAGACAGUCAGCUUCUGAGGUGAGCCUGAGGGAAAAUCAGGAGCUGCUGAGGGAUGACGGCCUGUCUGACACCCUGGGAAGUCAGAGAACUGUGCCAGCCAUAGACUGUGGGAUGGAGUGAGGCAUAGGGGCUUGAAGACAAACGUGUGGAAACAAAAUAUGACCUGACUGGAGGCCAUGUUGUGAGAAGAGACAGACCCACCCCAUGGGACCAGAAUGGCUGUUGGAAAGGGCAUUAGAUGAGGAGAGCCGGCUACAUCAUCCACCGCAACGAGGGGAGCACUCCAGCAGUGAGUCUACUCUUCUACGCCACCCUUUUCUGCCUUCCCGUUAGCUGUCCUGCUCCUAGCGGUGGAACAGGAGCAAACUGUCCCUGCACCUCCCGCAACUCAGGAACUGCUCUUGUGCGUGGCCCCUGCAGUACUGCAAGGCUGGGGCGGCUUCUUGCUGGCCCCUUUGCCCCUGUGCAGCCAUGCAAGGACCUCUUGCAAUCUGGUCCUGUGUGUAUCUCUGUUUGUACAUCGUUAGAAAGAGGCAUGCACACACACAAAGGUAUAUGUGAAAGUUCUCAUCGGACAGUGUUUGGAUAAUACACCAAGGCUGAUGGCCUCCAUACAGACCUGGGAUUUGGAGAUGCUGACAGAGUUCAAGGGAGACUGGACUUUAUAAACUCUGUACUGGUGCUCAUAUCAACAUGUCCUGUCUUUAUUGAAAUGAAUUGUGGCCAGCGGUCUGUUUGGGAGGAGGGGGCAUGAAGGGGAGAGUGAGAUAGCAGAGGUAUUUCACAAUACCAUAUCCUGCAACUCAAUUAGCCUUUCACAAAGGAAUAAGUGACCUGGCUAGAGAGCUAAACCAUGAAGAGGGAGCAACCAAGUCCAGAGAGAGAGACAACAAGGAGUGAGCAACCAAAGGAGGGGGCAUCAGAUUGCUGAAUAGCUAAUCCCCAGAUGUGACACAAAGCAGUGCCCCUAAUGCAAAUUAUGGGCCCAAUUUUGCCACCCUCCAUGAAAGCAACGGCAGACAAUCGUUUUGUGCCAGACACCAGAGCGAUUAGAAGAGCACAGCAAGGCGUGCUGUGCAUCAGAGAGGCUUUGAAAACCAGUUU